Long non-coding RNA from Gallus gallus (chicken), 848 nucleotides. Lineage: Eukaryota; Metazoa; Chordata; Aves; Galliformes; Phasianidae. The record is from Ensembl.
GGGGGAGGGGAAGGGGGGUCCUCCAGGGUCAUAGAGUUGAGGGGUGGGGGUCCUCCAAGGGCAUAGAGAUGAGGGUGGGGGUCCUCCAGGGUCAUAGAGAUGAGGGGUGGGGGUCCUCCAGGGUCAUAGAGUUGAGGGUCGGGGGGUCCUCCAGGGUCAUAGAGUUGAGGGGUGGGGGUCCUCCAGGGUCAUAGAGAUGAGGGUGGGGGUCCUCCAGGGUCAUAGAGAUGAGGGGUGGGGGUCCUCCAAGGGCAUAGAGAUGAGGGGUGGGGGUCCUCCAAGGGCAUAGAGAGUGGGGGGGGUCCUCCAGGGUCAUAGAGAUGAGGGUCGGGGGGUCCUCCAGGGUCAUAGAGUUGAGGGGUGGGGGUCCUCCAGGGGCAUAGAGUUGAGGGUCGGGGGGUCCUCCAGGGUCAUAGAGUUGAGGGGUGGGGGUCCUCCAAGGGCAUAGAGAUGAGGGUGGGGGUCCUCCAAGGGCAUAGAGAUGAGGGGUGGCGGUCCUCCAAGGUCAUAGAGAUGAGGGUGGGGGUCCUCCAGGGUCAUAGAGUUGAGGGGUGGGGGUCCUCCAGGGUCAUAGAGAUGAGGGUGGGGGUCCUCCAGGGUCAUAGAGAUGAGGGGUGGGGGUCCUCCAAGGGCAUAGAGAUGAGGGUGGGGGUCCUCCAAGGGCAUAGAGUUAAUGGGGGAGGGGAAGGGGGGUCCUCCAAGGGCAUAGAGAUGAGGGUGGGGGGGUCCUCCAAGGGCAUAGAGUUGAGGGUUGGGGGGGUAAGAAGGGCCCCCAUUCAUCCCUAUGGGGUCCCAUUGACCCCCAUUGCCCCCCAUUGCCCCCCAUUGCCCCCCAUUCUCCCCCAUUG